Molecule: ribosomal RNA, 251 nt
Filed under: uncultured bacterium
Lineage: Bacteria
Description: partial 16S ribosomal RNA
Rfam family: Bacterial small subunit ribosomal RNA
Source: RNAcentral
ACGGAGGAUGCGAGCGUUAUCCGGAUUUAUUGGGUUUAAAGGGUGCGCAGGCUGACCGGUAAGUCAAUGGUGAAACGCCCCUGCUUAACAGGGGUCCUGCCAAUGAUACUGCCGGACUAGAGUGCAAGAGGUGUAACUGGAAUGUGGUGUGUAGCGGUGAAAUGCUUAGAUAUGCCACAGAACGCCGAUCGUGAAGACAGGUUACAAACUUGCAACUGACGCUCAUGCACGAAAGCGUGGGGAUCAAACAG